RNAcentral lists this long non-coding RNA (3535 nucleotides) under Cricetulus griseus (Chinese hamster). RNAcentral describes it as "lncRNA (ENSCGRG00015030779.1)". The stretch from base 62 to 132 matches the Rfam family "mir-344 microRNA precursor family". Lineage: Eukaryota; Metazoa; Chordata; Mammalia; Rodentia; Cricetidae. The record is from RNAcentral.
GGGAUACACUCCUCCAAUCAGAGGCAUACGGAGACAAUAAAAUUUUUUUAAGAUGGGGAUUUUACCAGUCAGGCUCCUGGCUAGAAACCAGCUACCAGCUGGUACCUGAUCUAGCCAUAGCCUGACAGUAAACGGGUCUAGAAAAGGAAUACAGCAGCUAACAUUUGCAGGAGACAGAGCCAAUUGAGACUUAGCAUAGGCGGAAAUAUGCUGAGAUUCCUCCUCCUCCUGCCUGCAGUCAGCGGCUCCUGUUUACUGUUCAUGGAAUGUAUUCCUGCUCCUUAAGCCAUGCUUAUGCUUUAAGAUUUGUCAUCUCUGCCUCAGUCUUAGAGUCCGACAUCAUCUGCAAGCAGGAUGAUACAUUGUGGGAAUCAUUUUCUGACAGAGACCAGGAGCUUUGUGAGACCAGGCAAAAGUGAUCCAAGAGUUGGUCAUGUGUGAAUGAGAAGAGUAGCUCAAUAAAGGAGUAGGAUCAUCCUAAAUAAUUUCUCACUUAUGCUUAUCAGAAGCAUGUGGGAGUUAACAUGAAAGGGAAGCUAAGGAAAGAGCUGAAUAACGAAUAGCUUCGUGUUCAUCUUUAAGAAAGUCCCAGAAAGCAGUGACCUAGCAGCCAUUCAGAGACCUGCUAACCACCAGGGUCUCAGAUUCAACACUGAAGCCAUGUUUCCUCUCAAGAUCAUGUCACGCUCCCACCAGAUGUCAACCACCACACUCUGCUGAUGGCUGAAGAGCACAAUCAAGGAAGUGUUUGGACAAGUUAUGCAAUCUUAGAAAAACCUGGUGGAGGAAUUUCAGCACCUAUAAAGGAACAAGAUGAAGAUCCUACCCUGUAACAAGUGUGUGCAAUCCUGUAGCUUAUCAUGAUGUGACAGCUGAAUAACCUCAAUAGCUGAAUGAACUUCUUGGAAGAAUUUGCAGAAGGCAUGGACAUGGAAAUAGUCAAGGUUGAAUGUUUUUUUCCUCCAUUUUAAUUGUGAACCCCACAUUCAAAUGGAUGCUCACUCAACAUAAAAUAACAGUAAUUCAUUAUGUCAUUCCAACAGUUGUCUGUGAUAAUCUGAAAUUUUUGAGGCACCAAUCAUUAGAUAGAGAACAAAUCAAUUUUCUUACUUACAGAAAUAUUAUUUGAAAGGUUUUAUUAAUCUGGACAAUUCUAUAACCAGAACUUCACAGUUUUACAGGUAAAAUUAGCUAAAAAAAGAGAAAAAUGUUUUGUUUCAUUAAUGAAACUAUAUUUUCGUAUCAAUAGAGAUUAUAUUUUAGCAAAAAAGCUAUAGCAAUGUGACUAUAAUUAAAUAUUCUAACACAUGCUUGUUGAAAUUCUGUUUAUAAUUCCCUUUAAGACAGAACAUCAAUAUCAUGGCAUUUAUAGGGGCUGUCAUAGAUUAGAAAUGAAAUUCUUCACCAUUAAAGCAGUCUAUCAGCACAGAUGAUGUCAGUGCGCAGAAAAUGAUAGAUAAGUGAACAGCACAAUUUUCCCAGAGUUGGACAUAAAGGAAAACUAAAAAAAAUCUGAAUUGCAAUUUUAAAAGUUCUUCUAUUUUAAUUGUAAAUAAUGGUCUCUAUUUAUAUCUAUAAAUACAUAUUAUAGCACAAAUAUAUAAAAAUUGCUGAGAAAUAUAUGUGGUUCAGUGGUAAGUUUUCUCAGCAAUUAAGAACAUUUCUUCCUUUUCCACAUAUCCACAGUAUUAAUCCUCAUACCCCAACUACAGCAAACUGCUGUCUCCAUUUCUGGUACUACUGUAUCUGAUUCCCCCUUAAACCUUCUAUGCACAAAAGCCACAGACUUACAUGAUGCAGAAGAAUAUAUGCACAUGAAAUAAACACUGAAAAGUUGGCUUAUGCAAGUCUCAAGCAAGUUUAAUAUCUUACUUGACCAGUGGCUGUUUUUUAUUACACAAAAAGUGAAGACUCUAGAAUUCAUGCAAAUGGCAUAGUUUUGAUAUGUUCAGAGUGUAAUUUAGGUAAAGAUACAGAUUAUUUCACUAUAUUUUCCAGUUCUCAAAAGAUGUCUUUACAUAGCCUUUACUACCACUUCCUAAGCCCAAUUCUGAAACUAUAUUUACAUCCCUCAAUCACAAAACAAAAUUAUGCAUAACAUAAUUCAGCCCUCUAUUUCAGUUGGUAGAAUAGUUUCUUUGUAUGCAGAACUAUUAGGUAACUGUUAUGUCUAAACUGUCGAGAGGAAGGUUGUUCAUAGAACUGAGAAACACAAAUCCCUUUGGCGAAUCAGCCAACUCAGCAAAUUUCUAGUUUCAUAAAUUACCUCUGAGUGAGAAACAUAGUCUGUAGUGGAAUUGCCUUUACAUUUUUUAUGGAGCUGUAGGUAUGCAUUUCAGAAUUUUCUCCCACACUCCUGUGGGCUUUGGGCAAUACAUCUGUUUUUGCACCACACAUGCUUACUCAUGGUUCUGUAUGUAACAUCAUUAAAUAAUUGUAUUUUACAGGAAGUUAUUAAUAUUUGGCUUUUAAUCCAUGUCCUUUCUGGGUAAAACUGACCUUUACAUAUGUCAUUCCAGGAAAAGACACACAGGAGGAAAGUAUACCUGUAUAUACGUGAAGAAAAUUUCCUUACCAGUGGUCAAUGAAGUUUAAAAUUGCAGUUAAUAGGGAUUAUAUUUAGGUUUAUUCACUUCUUGUGCUUUAGCUGUAGGUCAGGUAAGGUUGAAAUUUUACACUCAUAUGAUCCUUUUGAUGCAGACUCCUGUGACCAGUGAUCACCAGAGCUUAUGUCCAUAUAUGCUCAGGUAUGGUUUACAUUUUUCAAUAUAUUUUUGAGUUAACAUUUUGAAUAUUGUUUUUUUUCUGAAACACAACUUAAUAAUUAUUUGAUCUUAUGAGUUGCAGAAUUGCCAUAAUCUUUUGUUUUAUUUUUAGAAAGAAUUUUGUGGGUUCCUUACUAUUUAUAUACCCACAGGUUAUGUUAUUUUCCCAAAGGUAUAAUUAUUUGUUUAUCAUAUCAAGGGACUAUACUAAAUACAUGAUUCUUUAUGUUAUUUCCUCAUCUAAUAAACCUGACAGUUUCUUUGAAACAAAAUUAAAUAAUAAUAUGGAGGGAAUGAGCAUCUUUUAAAAAUUAUAUUCUAUGUGUAUAGUAGAACUUAUCAAUACUGUUAUUUUAAUCCUGAAAGAAUGUGACUCUUAAUUGUUUAAUUUUGUUUCUCUUUUUUUUUUUGCUUUGAUUUAACAUUGUAUUUGGAAGACAUUUUUUUUAUUCCUUUAUUCAUUAUUGAUUUAACUUUAUGUGUGUGAUUACUUUUCUCCCAUAAAUGUCUUUGAAUGCCUGCUUGUCUUGUUUCUUUUAAUGGUCAGAAAAUGUUGUAGGAUUUCCUGCCUUGGAGUUACAGACAUUUGUGAGGUAAUGUGUAGUUCCUAGAAAUCAAAGUAGUGUAUUCUAGAAGACCAGGCAGUGUUUGUAAGUGUUGAGCUGUCCAUCCUGACAUUUUCGCUUAUUGUUCUUUUCCCUUGAUCUUACAUCAUAUUUGUCUGCCAUUUUCUGUAAUGGAUAUAUAUAUAUAUAUAUAUAUAUAUAUAU